Long non-coding RNA from Ictalurus punctatus (channel catfish), 4147 nucleotides. Lineage: Eukaryota; Metazoa; Chordata; Actinopteri; Siluriformes; Ictaluridae. The record is from Ensembl.
UAUUAUUAUUAUUAUUAUUAUUAUUAUUAUUCCCCAAAGGGAGACUAUGGCAGCCCUAUGAACUGUAAGUAGGAAAAUUCUUAAAUUUGGUACACUCAUAGAUAUUACCAUGAAUAGUAUCUGAACCAAUUAUGGGGUCUCUAGGACAAACUCUAUAGCACCACAAACUAGUUAGAAAAUUCACUUUUCAAAUGGCUAUAAUUGUUGAACACUUUGUCCAAGAGAAAAUUCAUCAGAAUACUCUCCUCAUGGUGCUUACAUUCCAUAUCUUACAUUAAGACUCCACCCAUUACAGUAGUCACCAUUUUGCAAUGUACAGUAUUCAAGCUUCAGUUCUAAAGAUACAGGGUUCAAUGCCCAUCUGGUGUCAGAUCUUUUUAUAAAAAAAUUUAAUAAUAAUAAUUUUAAAAAAAGUGUCUAAUCUUGCGUCAGUCGGUUCCUUUCUUUUGUGGCUUAGCAUUGCAAUAACCUUUCAACCUCUUGGCAUGCAAAUAAAUGCCUCUGUUCUGUUCAUAUCUUGUUCAAUCUUAUUCUCAGAUGUGCUUCUCAACCUCUCGUUAUUCAUUCAUGUACAUUCCAUUUCUUCUGUUCUUCAGGCUCCACAUUACGCUUGCUGCGCCUUUGGGGCUUGGCCCUGUUAAUCGCUGCUUGCAGCUAUAUUUAUCAUUAUUAUCAUUAUUAUCAUUAUUAUCAUCAUUAUUAUUAUUAUUAUACACUUAUUAUUGCGUACCUCUAAAUAUUCAGUUUGAUUAAUCAUACUUUCCUAAUUGUUGUUGAUGUUAACAAACGCAGAUUAAAACAAGUGUCGGUCACAGAGCAAAUGCAAGUCAUCCACCUGAAAUACCACUAAACUGUAUGUGUACAACCCUCCUGACUUGGUCUAUACAAGUUAAAUAACUUGUGAGAGCACAUCGUGCAAGUUAAAUAUAUAAAAAGCAUAAUGACAGGACUGGCUACUUUAAAUCAGUGGAACCAUACAAGUUCAUCAUUCCUGAUGGAGACAGAGUGGCUUAUACAAUAAUAUUGAUCUGAGCAGUAAUGUAUUCUGUUUAAUGGUGCUUUCUUGUGUGAAAUUGAGAUGUCUGAACAGCAAGAUCAUAUUCAGACUUUAGGGGUGUAACGAUACAGCCUUCUGACAUGUAGCCUCCGCCUACGGCCUUCGUAUUGUUCGAUAGAAUGUUCUCAAUUCUAUACACAAUAUACGCAAGGUGGUAUAAACAUUUAAACCUAUUAAUCAAGGCUACUGUCUUCUCUGAAAAAGUAACAGCCUCUAUCUCAAAACAAAAAUGCAACACUCCUAAUAACUCCUUGUUGUCGAUGUUUUAAAUCCGCAUCUGAAGUAAAAUGCGAAUCAAUUUAUAACAUUUUUGACAUGCGUUUUUCUGGAUUUUUUUUGUUGUUAUUCGGUCUCUCACUGUUCAAAUAAAUCUACCAUUAAAAUUAUAGAAUGAUCAUUUCUUUGUCAGUGGGCAAACGUACAAAAUCAGUACAGUGAGGGAUCAAAUACUUUUUUCCCUCACUGUACAGGCAAAGCUAAUUGGCGCUGUAUCAAAAAGCAUAUUGGAGAUUCCACUGUAUCGUAUUAAAUUAGAAUCUGUAUGUUGUUACACACCUAUUCGACCUAUAUAUCACUAAAGCAACAUUCUUACAUUGAGAAAAUCACAAUUAUUGCGGUUAAAAUGACAAUAAAAGAGUUUUAAAAAUAAAACAAUAAAAUAAAGCAGAGUUGUAAAAUGCGCCUCUGUUGUUUCAUGGUAGAGGUGAGUCAGGGAAAAAGAAAGAACACUGUCCUUCAAUACUAUGUUUUUAUUUAUCAGAGCCUAAACAACAAUUGUGUGGUUCUCUCACCAACUUCUCAAACAAACACAAUAACCUCAAAUUUCAAUAUGUACCAAGAUUAUUUAGAAACCAGGUGGGGAGAUUAAGUACACCCUUCUACAUCCACAAUCAUUAAGAGCGUAGUUAGCAGGUGUUGAAAUGAAAUGCCCAAGAUUAGUUAAUCAUCAAGAAGUUUGACUACCUACAUAUAAGUAGCACUUUUGGCAGUUUGAUGUUCUUGAGCACUCAAGUCUGACUCUACAUCAUGCCUAUAAGAAAGGACAUCUGCGAUGACAUCAGAGAAGCAAUUAUUGCUGCUCAUCAAUCUGGGAAGGGUUAUAAGGACAUCUCCAAACAAUUUGAAAUUCAGCAUUCUAUAGUGAGAAGAAUUGUUGAAAUGGAGAGCAAUUAAGAUAGCUGCCAAUCUUCUCAGGAGUGGGAGUCCCAGAAAAUUCAGCCGAAGGUCAGACCGUUAACAGCCAGAGAUAUAAAGAAAAACCCACAUCAUAAGACCUACAGGCUUCUGUAAGCACACUAAAUGUAAUGUUCAUGACAGAUCAAUCAGAAAAAGACCGAACAAGUAUGGCUUUCAUGGAAGGGUGGCUAGGAAAAGGCCUCUUCUGUCCAAAAGGAAUACGGCAACAUGACUUAGGUUUGCACAAUUGCAUCUGAGCAAACCACAAACGUUCUGGAACAAUAUCAUUUGGACUGAUGAGGGCUAGGUGGAGAUGUUGAGUCAUCAUGCACCAUGUUUGGCACUGUGAGUACUACUAAUUUAUGGUUUCUGGGAUGAUGCUUCUUAUCUGGUUAUGUCUAAAAUGAACGAACAUUCGUUCAUUCACUUAUUCACAAAAGAAACAACUUUAAACCAUUAUAUAUUGGUUCUGACUACAAUUGAAAUGUUAUAUUUUGGUACAAGUUGCUGGAGUAAAUCUUUUGGAAAUGGAAACUUCCGUUACAAAUAUUGUACUCCAUCAGCCUUAAACUCAUGUCAAACUCACGUCCAAAUUCAUCCAAAACAAAAACGUGGAGUGAAAUUUCCUUGCAAUGGUUUACAAAAUGGAUUAAAAGUCUUGAGAGUUUUCCACUUCGCCUUGAAGCUUCAUAGUCCACCUCACUACAGCAUGGUAUCGUUGAACUGAUUAACCACCACACACUUCCCAGAAGCUUAAUACUCAUUCGCGGAAUCUAACACACAAUAGCCUGCAUGUUCUUGUUGGAGUCACACGACAGAUAGAUUAAACAAGAGUCAGAGUCCAUAUAGGCCGUAUUUCUACGUAUUUUUACGCAGGUAAACAGUAAGUGGUGUCAUUGUGCACGUGGACGAAGAAGCUAAACAACCGUCCCAUUCAUUUUUCGAAACAAGUUCUGGAUUAACUCAACUCUACAAGAGAGAGAGAGAGAGAAAGCAACAGGUGUCUUUCACUUAAAGCAACAAUACUCAAUUAUGCAUGAAAAAAAAUUUAAGAAUUAUUGAUUAAUUACACAGUAAGCUACUCACCUCAUUUUCCUCUUAUAAUAAUUAUUUUAUCCAGGUGGAUUUUCUCAAAUCAAUAUUAGAACAAUUUGAACAGUACAUGCCUCUCCCUCUACAUAGUUUAAUAAUAAAAUGCAAUGACUUUUGUUGAUUUUAACUGAUUUCAAGUCAAAGCAAACUUCAGGAAGACACUAAAUGAAGCUUAUUCGUGGUUAGAGGGUUUUAUGGGCAAAAGAAUAAUUUAAAUACAAUUAAAGGGGGAGUUGGGGGUUUAUCAUGAUUCUUGAAUGUAUUUCUACGGUACACAGUUUUGCAAACAAACGUCCAGCAAUAGAGUAAGUAAUGUUAUUUAAAAAAAAAAAAAAAAAAUGAACUUUUUUAUUAUUAUUUCUGCUCAUUUUAAUAUAUUUACAAUAAAUUGGUUUUUAUGUGUUUUUUGCAUAUAUUUUAAUGUUUAUAUAUUUUAAUAUACUUCAAUAUUUGAUUUUUUUAAUUACUUGUAUAAAAGUAUAUAACGGACAGGUAUUGAACAUGAAUGAUCAAAAAUAUUUCUGAACACUAUAACUACUUUGAACGAGAGAACUAGGCUGCAAUAAUGUGGACUAUUUUAAAUGUAAACUCUUGCAUUCCAUUAGUUUUUUGCGUUCGAAAAACCAUCCGCAUACGAAUUAUGUAAAUUGGGACGAGUGGUGCAUCAUAAAAGUUACUUUUAAAAAAAAUCAUAAAAGUUAUGAAAAGUAAUUAAAAAGUACCAAAACACAAAAGCGAAAAAAUCUAUCUAUUAAAAACAGAUUAUAGAUUAAGUUAUAUAUAGAUAGAUUUUAUAUAGAAUAGAUAAUUAUUAAUACCUGG